AUGAUGACACCCACCUCUCUGAAUCAAUCAGGCACCAUCAGUCUACUAUAAGGACUCGGAAAUGACGCAAGAGGAGCGCGCGUUUUUUUCUGAUAGCUCUUGUUUGUCACGUUGUCCAUCCUUCCCGAGUUGUUGCAAUUGUGAUUUGUUAGUUUACUUUGAGUUAUUUCUGAUCGCUCCCUUACUUUACAUGUUGUAAUCACCUGCCUCUGACUUGACUCUGGCUGUUUGCGCGAUUAAGCUGUGAUUUUGAUUCCUCUUCCCUCUUUAAGAGUUGACGGUUGGAUUUAUCUCUCGACUCAUCGUGUUGAGACGAGAAGCUAAUUUUGACAACAACAGCAGCCAAUUAGGAAGUCGUAACACACACCCUCCUGGCCUUUACAGUUAUUUCCAUUAUGUAAAGACUUGAACAUUAACAGGACCAGCAUAGUGUGAAGCGUGGAGCAACACAUUUAAGAGUAUCAAGAUAUCAGGUUACCAGAAGGGAAGCAACAAACAGUAGUGUAACCAAAGCAAAAAACAAAACAACCAAAAAAAAAAAAAAAAAUGACGCAAGUGGUUUUGCAGGUGGGUGGGCCAUAAAAGCAAACAAACCAAAAACAGACUAAGAAAAUACGCUACAUAUGAAUAUUGAUACACCUCUCUUUCUCAGGCAUGGGUCAUUUGUGUUUACUGAAUAAUUGUGAGAUCCUAUGAUAUAAAUAUUAACAGAUUUACAUUUGGUUAACAAUGAUUUGUUUUGAACAACAUGUUUCUAUUUAUACAAUCUUUAACACUAUUGGUAAUGCAAUAUUCACAAUCUUACAAUGCAAUCUUACAAGGUAUAACUACAUAAACUGUUUUACAUUUAAUUAGAAAUGAAAUGCAAUACAGCUUUUAUAAUAAUGAAUUUCUUUUUAUAGGUUUUACAGUAAAAUUCAAGGAAUGGAUUAUAGACCAGUCUAUAACAUCUCACAUUACUUCCAUUUAAUUGGAUUCACAGAUUUUCAACAUCUUAGUAUAGACUUUAAUAGCUAAUUCUGUUUUGUUUUUGGUAAUUAUGAAGCAAAGAACUUUGCAUGCUCUGAUGUACAUUCUGAUUGCAUUAAUUGCUGCUCUUGGGUGUGUUAUGCCAAUAUUAAUUGUUAUCAGGAUGUUUAAUUUUUUUAUUUAUUUUUUUUUGUAUUACUAAAAAUGAAUGUCUCAUCCUAAGAGACCAAAGGCCAAGAGACAGCUGGUAGUUUUCACUCAGGCAUUUUACUUUGGAUGGCUGUUGACAGGUUAUUUUGUACCAAAUACCAAAGGUUUGUAAACAUCACUAAAUCAUUACUUUUCUGCUCUGCUUUAGAAUUUUAUAUGUGUAAUUAGGGGGCCAAGCACUGAUUGUGCACAGGCACCCUAUAGUUAUUCUACCUUCAGGACCAUGGCCUGAGGCAAUGCAACAUGCUAAAAAUGCUUACAUCUAACUGCCAUUUUUGCUACUCCUUGUCCAAAUUGUGUCCAUUCUUCACCAAGUUUGGCUCACAUCAUCUUGAGACCUGUCUGAAUAACUGUCUACUGCCAUUGAAGCCAUUCAAUGUGCUAGGAAAUUUGAAAACUGUUUACCUGUAACGUGCUGGCAGAUGCAAAAAAAGAAAACAGGAUGUUAGGGUGUAUCUCAGCAAUGCAUCUACAUAUCAUCAGGAAACUUGAUAAGUGUUUUCAGGACCAGGCCCUGAAAUCACCCAAGAAGUUAAUGACUGCAUCACCUUGUGGUCAAGAACUCUAACAACUUUCAUUUUUUUCCAUGUGUCAUUUGAAGAAUUUGUGCAAGAUUCACAGUUAUUUUUUCCUAUAAUUCCCUGAAGUGAACACACAUAUGCUGAAGUGAGUGCAUAACAAACUUCUGAAAUUCAUGUGUAAAUUCAAGAAAUUCUUCCUGUUUACAAUCUUGGAUGAAAAUUUUUUUUUAACUACUCCUACAGAUUAUGUCCAAUCAACACCAAAUUUGGCAUACAUCAUCUUCAGACUAACCUGGACAAACAUUAUCAAAAGAACUUUGAUAUUCCCAAGGGUUUGCCUGUAACUUAGUGUUUGGGGCUCAGUCUCAGUGUUUAAGUCUAGGCUAAAAACAUAUUUGUUUAGGCAAGUCUUUUGUGAAUAGUUUUUUCUUAGGUACAGGGGCAGGUCUGAAGGGUUCACAGGCAUAGAGUGUUGUGGUGAACUGGGAUGUUUGGAUGCUGUCGCCCCCCCACUCUCACGCAUUCACUCAGGUUUGUUGACGGUGGAGUCGCUGGCCACUUUAUGUCCCAGGGCUCCCUCAUGCCUGCGUUACCUUCUGGUUCUCCCUUUUAGUUAUGCUGUCAUAGCUAGUCUUGCCGGAGUCCCUGCUUGCACUCUGCACGCAAAGUAUAUUGUCCUUAACCAUUACGGGACAAAAGCUUUCCUAACAAUCUCUCCCUCUCUCUCCACCUCUCUCUCUCCCUCACUCUGUCGAGCUACACAUGCUACUUCUGAGAUGCCAGUGAUCCUGACCCCUUCUACUCCCUGCCUGACCCAUCCUGAUGCCCUACUUCUGGUUGGAGUUCUCAUCGGUUGAGUUUGCUCGCUGCUGCUGGGGGUGGCCCCAUAUGGACGGCCUGAAGAACCAUUUGGAUUGCUGGGGGUGGUGCCACCUGGGGGCUGUGGAGAUGGCUUGGGGAUCACACAUGGGAGCUGUACUGUAAUGGCUUGGGACUGCGAUUGCUGUAGUGGCUUUGGGGCUGCAGCUGCCACGAGCACCUUCGUACUCAGGACUCCAUCAGUGGACAGUGGAUAGAUUUUAACCAACCGGACUUCUUGCAAAAACUGUGAAGAAUUUACUGGUUGCACAAUUGCACUAUUUGUCCGUAUAGUACACAAUAAUAGAAGGGAUUUGUUUAUAAUUGCACUAUCCGUUGCACCCAGAUGAGUAUGGGUUCCCUUUUGAGCCUGGUUCCUCUCAAGGUUUCUUCCUCAUAUUGUCUCAGGGAGUUUUUCCUUGCCACCAUCACCUCUGGCUUGCUCAUUAGGGAUAAAUUCACAAAUUUACAAUAUAUUUUUUGUGAAUCCAUUUAUUUCUGUAAAGCUGCUUUGUGACAAUGUUCAUUGUUAAAAGCGCUAUACAAAUAAAAUUGAAUUGAAUUGAAAUUAAUGUGUCAAUAAAUCUGAUGGCAAAGCCGCCAAACAGGAAGUGAGGCUGUAUCUCAGCAACAACCUUGCACACUGACACAAAUCUUGGUAGGCAUCUUCAGGACCAUGCCCUGAGGCUAUGCAACAUAUUUCAUGACAGUGCAACAUACUGGACAAAAGUUACAAUAACAUACCAAAAAUGCUUCCAUCUAAGUGCCAUUUUUUGAUACUCCUCAAAUUUGGUCCAAUCUUCAUGAAAUUUGAUUCACAUUAUCUUGAGACCUGUCUAAACAACUAUCUACUGCCAUUCUAGCUGUUCAGUGUGCUAUUAUAAAGACAAC
This is a long non-coding RNA of Pangasianodon hypophthalmus (striped catfish), 3449 nucleotides long. RefSeq lists it as uncharacterized. The transcript is spliced from 3 exons. Lineage: Eukaryota; Metazoa; Chordata; Actinopteri; Siluriformes; Pangasiidae. The record is from RefSeq and is a predicted model, not a curated record.